RNAcentral lists this long non-coding RNA (1247 nucleotides) under Carica papaya (papaya). RNAcentral describes it as "long non-coding RNA (CPAP_LNC000870)". The record is from RNAcentral. Lineage: Eukaryota; Viridiplantae; Streptophyta; Magnoliopsida; Brassicales; Caricaceae.
AAUGAAAUGUGGGAAGAAGUGGAAAAGGGGCCUUAAAUAGGAAAGGAAGGCAGCUUAGAUGUGCAUCACGUGGUAGACAUCUAAGUGGGACACUUGGUGGUUAGGUGGCUGCCACAGUAGGGAGGACAUGUCCGUGCGGUACGCGGGCCAUACGCGGUAAGGCGCGCCUGCACUCUGCUAGCGCACACAGAGGGCACACAGUAGAUGUGCAGUGCUGCAUGUAGGCAUUGGCAUGCUGGCACACACACACACACAUAGUGUCAUUCAUAGGCACCUAACACAAGCCACCUACGCAAUGUGACCGCACAGGGGCGUGCUCACAAGUGCGUGCACAGCACCUUCACGAGCGCGCGUGGGAGCACGUGGACACGUGGACGUGCAAGCUGUCAGCUCUUAGGCUGCUUUCCUGGGGCCUUGGGGGUUUAUCUCUGUCUUUUCAUUUUCCAAUUUUUCUUGAAAAUUCCAUAAAUAUAAUUUGAAAAUAAUUGAAAUAAAUAAGAACUAUUAAAAUAACGAUAGUUAAUGUAAAGCAAAAACACUGAUAAUUUUAAAUGCAAACUGAAUUUUAAAUGGCCAUGAGAACCAAAAUAAUAGAGUUUGGCACAUGGUUAAACGAAAAGGUUUUGGCGUGUUACAUGGGUUGUUCAUGAGCUGUUCGAUCAGUUUGGACAGAAGGCAGAUCUGACUAUCCGUUCGAAUUUCUAACGAGAAUCAAUAUGAGCCAUUGAUCACAUUUGAGAAAGAAUCCAUCGUGACCAUCAGAUCAUGCCUUGGGCGGAAAUGGAUCUCAUCCGUUCAAUCGACCAUACGUGAUGGAAUCAGAGAUGUCCAUUCAAAUUUCAGGUGGGAACAAAUCUUGACUGCGGGAUCGGGCAAGGCAAAAAACAACUUGAACCAUCUGAUCGUCCCCUCACGUGAUUGCCAUACCAACAACUCCCUCCACAUGCACGCGUCAUGUGUCAAGCAUGCUGGUGUGUCUACAUGUGUCUAAUGCCCACUAUAGCUACAAAUAGGUCACAUGCUGACGUGGCCCACUUUUGAGAAAUUGCAGAGAGCAGCUCCCUAAAAAUUCUUGCAUUUAGGUACCUAAGCCCCUUUUCAUGUCCAAAAGGCCCCCAAACAUACUGAUUUCCCUCGUUUAAGCUCCUAAAUAUUUAUUUUAUAUUUUUAAGGGUUUUAAAUUCAUUUUUAAUUUUUUUUCGGUUUAUUUCUCGCUAUUUUCUUGAAAUAAAGCCCAUUAAUUAAGC